UACGUAGGGGGCAAGCGUUGUCCGGAUUUAUUGGGCGUAAAGAGCUCGUAGGCGGCUCACUAAGUCGGAUGUGAAAAACUCCAGGCUCAACCUGGAGACGCCAUUCGAUACUGGUGUGGCUUGAGUUCGGUAGGGGAGCACGGAAUUCCUGGUGUAGCGGUGAAAUGCGCAGAUAUCAGGAGGAACACCGGUGGCGAAGGCGGUGCUCUGGGCCGAAACUGACGCUGAGGAGCGAAAGCGUGGGUAGCAAACAGG
This 255-nucleotide ribosomal RNA is filed under the name uncultured bacterium. RNAcentral's name for it is "partial 16S ribosomal RNA". It matches the Rfam family "Bacterial small subunit ribosomal RNA", at positions 524 to 776 of the family's 1533-position model. The record is from RNAcentral.